AUUGGACGCUGGCGGCAGGCCUAACACAUGCAAGUCGAGCGGAUGAAGGGAGCUUGCUCCUGGAUUCAGCGGCGGACGGGUGAGUAAUGCCUAGGAAUCUGCCUGGUAGUGGGGGAUAACGUCCGGAAACGGGCGCUAAUACCGCAUACGUCCUGAGGGAGAAAGUGGGGAUCUUCGGACCUCACGCUAUCAGAUGAGCCUAGGUCGGAUUAGCUAGUUGGUGGGGUAAAGGCCUACCAAGGCGACGAUCCGUAACUGGUCUGAGAGGAUGAUCAGUCACACUGGAACUGAGACACGGUCCAGACUCCUACGGGAGGCAGCAGUGGGGAAUAUUGGACAAUGGGCGAAAGCCUGAUCCAGCCAUGCCGCGUGUGUGAAGAAGGUCUUCGGAUUGUAAAGCACUUUAAGUUGGGAGGAAGGGCAGUAAGUUAAUACCUUGCUGUUUUGACGUUACCAACAGAAUAAGCACCGGCUAACUUCGUG
RNAcentral lists this ribosomal RNA (483 nucleotides) under uncultured bacterium. RNAcentral's name for it is "partial 16S ribosomal RNA". It matches the Rfam family "Bacterial small subunit ribosomal RNA", at positions 30 to 507 of the family's 1533-position model. The record is from RNAcentral.